UACGAAGGGUGCAAACGUUGCUCGGAAUCAUUGGGCGUAAAGCGCACGUAGGCGGCUUUGCAAGUCGGACGUGAAAUCCCUCAGCUCAACUGAGGAAGUGCAUCCGAAACUGCAAGGCUUGAGUACUGAAGAGGAUCGCGGAAUUCCCGGUGUAGAGGUGAAAUUCGUAGAUAUCGGGAGGAACACCAGUGGCGAAGGCGGCGAUCUGGGCAGAUACUGACGCUGAGGUGCGAAAGCGUGGGGAGCAAACGGG
RNAcentral lists this ribosomal RNA (253 nucleotides) under uncultured bacterium. Its description in RNAcentral is "partial 16S ribosomal RNA". It matches the Rfam family "Bacterial small subunit ribosomal RNA", at positions 524 to 776 of the family's 1533-position model. The record is from RNAcentral.